AUAACGCAUUGUAUGUAAGUGGUUCAUUUUAUCCCUUCCGUUCUAUUCUUAUAUGUAAUAUACAUAUUUUAUAUAUAUAUAUAACGUAUGUAUGUGGAGUUCUUAGUACAUAAUAAUGAAAAGCAAAGAUAAAAAAAAAAAAUGAUCAAGAGUUUAAUUUUUCGCAUAUUAGAAAAAAAAGAAAAUGUAAUAUGUUUUAAAAAGCCGAUUGUUUUGUUUUAUAGUAGUCAAGCUAUAUUAAAUGCAAGAAAAAAGAAAAGAAAAGAAAACGCAGGUUCCAAAAGAGAGUUUAAAAUUAGGAAUAAGGAAAAUAAUAUAAGCAGUGUAAAUAUAAGUUCUACAACAAAUGUGAAUAAUACCAAAGAUGUUGAUACAAAAUUUAGUAACAUAAGUGAAGAAAGUGAUUAUAAUAGAAACCGAAGUGGGAGCUUAAUGAAUGAAAUUUUUGAAAAAAAAAAAAAAAUAAUAAUAGAUCAUACCAAAUUAAAAGAAGAAAUAGUAAAAAAAAGUUUUUUAGAAUACAAUUUUAAAAUAGAUAUAUAUUUAAAAUUAACUGCUUUGAAACUGUUUAAUCCAACGCAAAUCCAAAAAAAUGUAAUACCGCUACUGUUACAGAAGGGUAAUGAAAAUGCCGCUCAACAAUAUAACACGCAACAAACGUAUGAAAAUAAAAAUAUAUACAAUGAAAUAUUAAAAAAUCGAAUGCAUAUUAAUAUGUAUCUAAAAAAGAAUUUAAACGCUACAAGUAAUUUUUAUGAAGUUGAUAAAUAUAUACGGGAAAAAAAUUAUGAGGAUAUUAGUAGGUCAAAAGAAAGUGGCACUAUCGGUUUUAAUAGUAUGAACCAUACUAGUCCAAAUACACAUAACACAAUUAAACAAUGUUUUAAUGAUGUAUACGUCAUAAUAAGUCCUUAUAACACAGGAAAGACGCUUAGCUACUUUCUUCCAGUACUUCAUAAUUUCUACUCAAAUAGUGAAUAUGUAAUAAAAAAUUUAUGCAAUUUUUAUAACUUUUUAAAUAAAUAUAAUUAUAAAAAAAAUGCUAAUAAAUUAUUUCGUAAAAAAGAAAAGAUGAAAUAUGCAGAACGUAAAGAGAAUAUGUUUUUUAGUGUAUCUUAUGUAAAGUAUAAAAUACGUAAUAGAUAUAUACAUAUGAAAAAAUAUAAUAAUUAUAAUAUGAAUAGUAGUUUUAUUAAAAAUAAAAGAAACAACAAAUUGAACUGCUUAAAACAUAAAAAAAAUAUAUUUUUUCCAUAUGCAAUUAUUGUAACAAAUACAAGAGAAGCAGCAUGUGAGUUAUUUAAUUUUUUAAAACAUUUUGAUGUAAAUCUUGAGUUAUUGGCUGGUGGAUAUUUGAAUAAAAAAAAGUCAAUUAAAAAAUAUCACAUGAGUAAUUUUGAUGGAAAUGAAUCAAAUUGGAAAGACAAACACAAUGAUGAAAUCAUGAAGAACAGUAACAACUACAACUUUUGUAAUAAAAAAAAUAAUAAUUCAAAAGAUAAUUAUUUUUUUUCAAGCACUGACAAUUUUUUGAAAAUGAUAAAAAAAAAUAAUAAAAAAAAUACAAUACGUUUAAUAAAUUAUAAUGUUGAUAUUAUAAUAGGGACUCCAGAUAAAAUUUUUGAAAAAAUAGAUAAUUAUAAAAAUAAACAUUUAUAUAAUUUAAAAUUUUUAAAAUAUUUUAUAGUGGAAGAAGCUGAAACUUUAUGUAACGUCUUCAAUGAAAAGAAGUUACAAUUACUUUUUAAUCAUAUCAAAAAUUACACAAAUAUGUAUUAUUUUCGAGCAAGUACAUUGUACAAUGAUUAUGUCGACGUUGAUACUGAUGAGAAAACGAAAAAAAUGGAUUACGAUUUGGAGUCUGAAGAAGUAAAACGUAGCAGUAAAAAAAGGACGAGGUCAAAUUUUAGUAUGAGUACUAAUGUUUAUGAAGAGGUUAACAAAUGUAACAAUGGAAAUGAUGAAGGAGUCGAGUUAAGUGAAAUGGAAAAAGGCGGAACUAGCAACAGUGAUGUUGCCAGCUUUACAGGCGAUGUGCCUUCUAAUGACAAUUACAAAAGUGAUGACAAAAAAGGAGAUAACAAUAGAGAUAAUAAAAAAGGAGAUAACAAUAGCGAUGACAAAAAAGGAGAUAACAAUAGCGAUGACAAAAAAGGAGAGAACAAUAGCGAUGACAAAAAAGGAGAGAACAAAAAAGGCGAUAGCAAAAACAAAGUUAGCAGCGCCUUUUAUGACAUACGCAACAAAUACGCUAACACAGAAUUAGAAAAAAUAAAAAAAGACCAAGCGAUUAAAAAUGUAAAAAAUACAAUAAAAUCAAACAUCCCAAUUACCAUAUUCGUGUCAGCAACAAAAACAGUAUGUAUAAGUGAGUUUUUAAAUAAUAAUAUAAAAAGUAAAUAUAUACAACAUAUAAUUAACAUAGAUAGUCAUAACAUUAGAGAUGAUAUAAAACACAUUUUUAUUAAUAGUAAGAAUAAAGAUAAAAUUUCUAUGUUACUUGAACUUCUGAAUGAUAAGAGUCUACAUAAUGUAAAAGGAGAUAGUAGUGAUUAUAAUAAUAAUAAUAAUAAUAACAAUAAUAACAACAAUAAUAAUAACAACAAUAAUAAUAACAAUAAUAAUAAUGGUGGUGGUAUAAAACAAUAUGUGAAUAAUUUUUCAAAUCAGUAUGUAAUUUUUUGUAAUACUAGAAAAAAUGUAAUAAAUUUAAAUGAAAUAUUAUCCGAGUUAAAAUAUAAAGUUAGUUGUAUUCACAAUGAAAUGGAUUAUAAAAGUCGUAGUUCAAAUUAUCGUGAUUUUAAAAAAAAGAAAACAAAUAUUUUGAUUUGUACUAAUAUAAUUAGUAGAGGUGUACAUUUUGACAACUGCAAAAUAAUAAACUUUGAUAUUAGUAAUAAUAUAAAUGAUUAUAUCUACAAAAUGAAUAACGUAUCAUUGAACGGAUACAGUCGUAGUGUUAAUAGUGGUGAUAAUAACAAUAAUACAUUAACUUCUUUUUUUAAUAAAAAAACUACUCCAAUAGUUAAUGACAUAAUAGAUAAGACUGUUAAUAAAAAACAAAUUAUUUUUCAAAAUUUGAAUAAAAAAGUUAGCAAAAUGCUUAAAUUACAAUACAAAUAUUAUGAUAUUGUAAAAAAAAAAAAAAAAUAUGAAAAAAGAGGAGGGAGAAAAGCAUUACGUAUGUCACCAAGAAGAAAUUGUUUAAGUAAAAAAAAUAAAAUUUUGUCGAAAAAAUUAUAUUUUUAUCAUAAAAUGGAUAUAGAGCGCAAAAGAUUAGUCAAAAAGGGAAUAUUAAAACCAUUUCAAAAAAUACCUAGAUUCCCAAAUAAAAAA
Molecule: long non-coding RNA, 3336 nt
Organism: Piliocolobus tephrosceles (Ugandan red Colobus)
Lineage: Eukaryota; Metazoa; Chordata; Mammalia; Primates; Cercopithecidae
Source: Ensembl